UGGCGGACGGGUGAGUAACGCGUGGGUAACCUGCCUUACACAGGGGGAUAACACCUGGAAACAGGUGCUAAUACCGCAUAAGCGCACAGGGCCGCAUGGCCCGGUGUGAAAAACUCCGGUGGUGUAAGAUGGACCCGCGUCUGAUUAGCUAGUUGGUGGGGUAAAGGCUCACCAAGGCGACGAUCAGUAGCCGGCCUGAGAGGGCGACCGGCCACAUUGGGACUGAGACACGGCCCAGACUCCUACGGAAGGCAGCAG
This 258-nucleotide ribosomal RNA is filed under the name uncultured bacterium. Its description in RNAcentral is "partial 16S ribosomal RNA". It matches the Rfam family "Bacterial small subunit ribosomal RNA", at positions 96 to 354 of the family's 1533-position model. The record is from RNAcentral.